AAUUACAAACUUUACUUUUUCUCUAAAAAACAAAACUUUAACUUUUCAUAUCCUUUAAUCUUUCACAUUCCUACCUAACUACCAAGCAUCCUCUUCUCUUUCUACGGGUGGAUAAAUGUAGAAUUGAGAAGUAGCGAUGGGUUCCAUCAAAAGAGAAAAUUGUGCUCUCCAUUUCUCUUAAGGAUGUUGAUCCACUUUCUCGUAGAAUUGUUGCUGUUUUAGAGUUCGCAUCAUGUUUGAAGUUUGUUUCUUUCUAAAUGAGUAAAGAUUAAGUUGAAGGCUCUGGCAGAUGUGGCUGAAUACAAUUUUGUCUUAAAGGGGAGAGCAAUUGGAGUUUAGAAGUAGAAGAAUAUUAUGAAUUUUGUUCUCAGCUACUUGAAUUUUGUUGGAUUUUUUUGUCUCUAUUACUUGUAUCAGAUAUUUUUCUUCGUAUUUAUGCAACCUUUAACUUUAUAUAA
Long non-coding RNA from Medicago truncatula (barrel medic), 458 nucleotides. RefSeq lists it as uncharacterized. The transcript has 2 exons. The record is from RefSeq and is a predicted model, not a curated record. NCBI's taxonomy places the organism in Eukaryota, Viridiplantae, Streptophyta, Magnoliopsida, Fabales, Fabaceae.